RNAcentral lists this ribosomal RNA (253 nucleotides) under uncultured bacterium. Its description in RNAcentral is "partial 16S ribosomal RNA". It matches the Rfam family "Bacterial small subunit ribosomal RNA", at positions 524 to 776 of the family's 1533-position model. The record is from RNAcentral.
UACGAGGGGGGUUAGCGUUGCUCGGAAUGACUGGGCGUAAAGGGCGCGUAGGCGGAUGGCACAGUCAGAUGUGAAAUUCCCGGGCUUAACCUGGGGGCUGCAUUUGAUACGUGUUGUCUUGAGUUCGGAAGAGGGUCGUGGAAUUCCCAGUGUAGAGGUGAAAUUCGUAGAUAUUGGGAAGAACACCGGUGGCGAAGGCGGCGACCUGGUCCGACACUGACGCUGAGGCGCGAAAGCGUGGGGAGCAAACAGG